Long non-coding RNA from Lolium perenne, 905 nucleotides. RefSeq lists it as uncharacterized. Lineage: Eukaryota; Viridiplantae; Streptophyta; Magnoliopsida; Poales; Poaceae. The record is from RefSeq and is a predicted model, not a curated record.
UACUUUGAGAAAUAAAGUUUACAGUUAAUUCUUUUGAGUAAAUGAAUUUUUUUGCCAUACUUUUUAGGCUUUAGAGUAUAUAUAAGAUCAUUUGAAUAUACCUUGAUUUGUGUAUGUGCAGCAUUUUGUAUGUGAGGGAUCUGGAUAGUUUGAUCGAUAUCUUGACUCUGAGCUACUCAUGGUCAUACUGCCAGUUGAAACAUCGAAUUAUCCAUACCUGCUUCAGUUUUGCUCGUUUCAGGGGUGUCGUUGCUGCUGCCAGACAUCACUACGAUUAUUUUUUGUGAGAUGUGAUUUCCUGGAUAUUGGUGGUCUCUAUUAUUGCCGUGUGUCAUAGGAAGGAUUCAUAUGUGCCUCAAUUAUAUGCACGGAGGUUGGAGGUGUGCACGGAAGGUGUUUGAGUAAAUUCCCGACCGUGUAAUGUUUUAUUAGCACGGUAAGCGAUUGAUUGUUGGUGUCACGCGAGCUGAAACUUCAUGACAGUUCAGCAGCUCUAAGAGAGCAACUACAAGACGAAGCGGUGCUCAGCUGAAGAAAACCUCGGUGGUUAUGAGGCAUCUCAACAGGUUCGAACUCAAACAGUAUAUUCACUUUACAGUUCCAUCUCCGCCUUCACUUAGAAGGCAAUAUAUUUCGAUUUCUCUUCAGAACCAUCCAAGCAAGCAAGUUGCAGGGAAGAUUAAUCUCCAAUCAAUGAAACAUGUCGAGUGCUCCAUGUAGUUGUUUGUAUUUUGCAAUUCCUAUUAUAUGUUUGAACAUAAUAUAUUUUCUCAAAUAUGCUGCCACUUCAUUUAAUGUUUUUUAAAUCAUGGUGACACUUCUUUGAAGGCUAAGCCAACGGUUAGUUUACAAGAAUAAAUUUUACGACUUCAAGCACUUAACGAAUAUGUAGCUUGCUAGCCCCC